Molecule: long non-coding RNA, 1204 nt
Organism: Ornithorhynchus anatinus (platypus)
Lineage: Eukaryota; Metazoa; Chordata; Mammalia; Monotremata; Ornithorhynchidae
Exons: 3
Source: RefSeq, a predicted model, not a curated record
CUGGAGAGAAGCUAUAAAUGAAAUUUGCUUUCAGGCAUGGAGCAUCUACCUCUACAAGAUUUCCGAGAACAGCCGAAAACAGGAAAAAUAAAAAUCUCUGCCAUUUUAACAUUGCGGGACUAUACCAUUUCAAGUAAUUUCCAACAUUAUCGUGGGUAUUUUGACCUAUUCAUGAGGUUUCAGAAAAAUUGGGACUUACCCUAGAGCUGCAAAGAAGACACUCAUGGAGAAUAUUUAAGUUAGAAUGCAAUCUGAAGAGGAGAAGAGACAAAUAAGGAAUAGUAUAAGCAGAUAACAGUAACCUUUUGCCAAUUACUUUCCCGCUGGUAAUGAGAGAACUAAAAGAUUGAAAGUUAAACUCUUUUCACAUUAUACUUGUGGGGCGAGAUUUCCUAGGUUCUUUAUUUAUAUCACUUAUCCUUGUCUGGCAACAUAUGUUACCUAUUUAUUAUAGUAUUUUUACUGUUAGCAGACAAAUCUAAGGGCUAGCUGAGAAGGCUAGCUUCAUCUGAUGAGUUUAACAACAACUGCAGGGCAUCCUUUGGGGUAGCCAAUAGGCUCUGUGGAAGCUAGAAUACUCACAAUUAACCAUUUUGCUGCCAAAAUAUUUCUAUGUUUUCAAAUUUGUUCUCAUUGUUGAACAUAAGGGUUAGUGACUACAAAACUUUGUCGCUUAAACGUUUCAGUUAGUUUUCAGAACACCUCUUCCGAUGCAUCUUAAAUUCUCUUAAAAUAGCUAGGUGAAUGUACAGGUUUAUAUGUUGGGGGGAUUUGGGGUCCGGACUUCUUUUCUCUUUAAUCUGUGGGACACCAAUAACAAACAGCUAUCAAACAUCAACUUAAAUUGACGGUUAACCCUCUGCCCCACCAAAUACCACUAAUUCUCUGUUCUGCUACAAAAAAACUAAGGUUUAGAGUUUAAAUGCUACAGUUUCUCAGAAUUACAUGUCUGGGACAAGCCCAGAAGAGAGUGCUUCAGAGACUUUUUGUUCUACAUAAAUGUCUAGGCUAAUAGAAUUGCCAAUUAAAAUGACCUUUAUAGCAUUUGUGUAACAAUAAGAUUGCCUCUUUCAAAGAAAACACUGCUCGGUAACUAAAAUUAUUCCUUAGAAGAAUUGCAAAAUGAAGAAUUUCUCCAUGUUGUUCAUGCUCACCUGGAAUUCAACUGAAGCAUUCAAUAAAUAUCAUUGAUUGAUUGCUUGUC